CGAACGCUGGCGGUAUGCUUAACACAUGCAAGUCGAACGAGAAAGCAACUUCGGUUGUGAUUAGAGUGGCGCACGGGUGAGUAACGCGUAGGUGACCUGCCUCUUAGCGGGGGAUAACCAUGAGAAAUUAUGGCUAAUACCGCAUACGUACUGCAAUUUUGGAAGUAGCAGUAGAAAGGAUGCCUCUCCUUGGAAGCAUUCACUAAGAGAUGGGCCUGCGUAGCAUUAGCUUGUUGGUGGGGUAAUGGCCUACCAAGGCAACGAUGCUUAGCUGGUCUGAGAGGAUGAUCAGCCACACUGGAACUGAGACACGGUCCAGACUCCUACGGGAGGCAGCAGUGGGGAAUAUUGCGCAAUGGACGAAAGUCUGACGCAGCAAUACCGCGUGAGUGAGGAAGGCCUUCGGGUUGUAAAGCUCUGUCAGAUGGGAAGAACGAUUAAGGGUCCAAUAGGCCUUUAAAGUGACGGUACCAUCAAAGGAAGCACCGGCUAACUUC
Molecule: ribosomal RNA, 497 nt
Filed under: uncultured bacterium
Lineage: Bacteria
Description: bacterial SSU rRNA
Rfam family: Bacterial small subunit ribosomal RNA
Source: RNAcentral